GAUAAAUCCCAUAACAACAACUAAACAAGUUUCAAAAUCCAAAACUCGGUAACAUAAUUUUUUUCUCAAAAACAUAAAUAAAAUUCAAAGUACUCUGAUCCAUUUCAUCAUUAAAUCUUAAAACCUUCUUCCACCACCAGCAGCAACACCAGCACCUCUUCCAAACGGCACCUGUUGAACAGGAACAGGAUCAACCUGAACAACCCCGGGAAUCUCGGACAUACCAAGAGCAGCAAGCAUAUCAAGAGUCUCCUUAUCAACCUCAAUAUGGUCAGUCCUGAUAGCAGAAACAUCAGGAACGAAAUCCAUCCUCCUUUCACGCUCUUCCUCUUGUAGCUUCAACGAGAUUCCACGAACUGGUCCCUUUUGAAUACGCUUCAUGAGAUGGGUUGAAAACCCAGCGAUCUUGUUGCGAAGACGCUUUGAUGGGAUCAGUGCAACUUCUUCGAGGAUCUUUUUGUUUGUGUGGAAAUCUAGGGUCAUUUUUGAGUAGUAACGUUCGAUUACUUGGCGUGAGGAUUUUUUCACGGUUUUGGUUCUGACACGACCCAUUUUGGUGAAUGUGUGUGAGAGUGUGUGCGGUGAAGGGAGGAAGAUGAAGACGCAGAGGAAUUAGGGUUUGGUGUUU
This 628-nucleotide long non-coding RNA is filed under the name Medicago truncatula (barrel medic). Its description in RNAcentral is "lncRNA gene3300". The record is from RNAcentral. Lineage: Eukaryota; Viridiplantae; Streptophyta; Magnoliopsida; Fabales; Fabaceae.